CUCAGCAAACAGCACACCAGGAGAUUAUAUCCCGGCCCUGGCUCAGCGGGUCCCAUGCCCACAGAGCCUUGCUCACUGCUAGCACAGCAGUCUGAGAUAGAACUGCAAGGUGGCAGACUGGCUGUGGGAGGGGCAUUCGCCAUUGCUGAGGCUUGAGUAGGUAAACAAAGCAGCCAGGAAGCUUGAACUGGGUGGAGCCCACUGCAGCUCAAGGAGCCCUGCCUACCUCUGUAGACUCCACCUCUGGUGGCAGGUCAUAGCUGAACAAAAGGCAGCAGAAACUACUGCAGGAGCUCCUGUAGGGCAGGCCUGGUGGUGACAAAAAUCUCUCAGUAUUUCCUUUUCUGUAAAGGAUUUUAUUUCUCCUUCGCUUAGGAAACUUAGUUUGUCUGGAUAUGAAAUUCUGGGUUGAAAAUUUUUUUAAGAAUGUUGAAUAUUGGCCCCCACUCUCUUCUGGCUUGUAGGGUUUCUGCAGAGAGAUCUGCUGUUAGUCUGAUUGGCUUCCCUUUGUGGGUAACCCAACGUUUCUCUCUGGCUGCCCUUAACAUUUUUUUCCUUCACUUCAACCUUGGUGAAUCUGACAAUUAUGUGUCUUGGGGUUGCUCUUCUCCAGGAAUAUCUUUGUGGUGAUCUCUGUAUUUCCUGAAUUUGAAUGUUGGCCUGCCUUGCUAGGUUGGGAAAGUUCUCCUGGAUAAUAUCCUGAAGAGUGUUUUCCAACUUGGUUCCAUUCUCUCCAUCACUUUCAGGUACACCAAUCACACAUAGAUUUGGUCUUUUCACAUAGUCCUAUAUUUCUUGGAUGCUUUGUUCUUUUCUUUUCACUCUUUUUGCUCUAAUCUUGUCUUCUUGCUUUAUUUCAUUGAGUUGAUCUUCAAUCUCUGAUAUCCUUUCUUCUGCUUGAUUGGUUCAGCUAUUGAUACUUGCGUAUGCUUCAUGAAGUUCUCCUGCUGUGUUUUUCAGCUCUAUCAGGUCAUUUAUGCUCUUCUCUAAACUGUUUAUUCUAGUUAGCAAUUCAUCUAACCUUUUUUCAAGGUUCUUAGCUUCCUUGCAUUGGGUUAGAACAUGCUCCUUUAGCUCGGAGGAGUUUGUUAUUACCCACCUUCUGAAGCCUACUUCUGUCAAUUCAUCAAACUCAUUCUCCAUCCCAUUUUGUUCCCUUGCUGGUGAGGAGUUGUGAUCCUUUGGAGGAGAGGAGGCAUUCUGGUUUUUGGAUUUUCAGCCUUUUUGCACUUGUUUCUCCCCAUCUUCGUGGAUUUAUCUACCUUUGGUCUUUGAAGUCAGUGACUUUCCGAUGGGGUCUCUGAGUGGACAUCCUUUUUGUUGAUGUCGAUACUAUUCCUUUCUGUUUGUUAGUUUUCCCUCUAACAUUCAGGGCCCUCUGCUGCAGGUCUGCUGGAGUUUGCUGGAGGUCCACUCCAGAACCUGUUUGCCUGGCUAUCACUAGCGGAGGCUACAGAACAGCAAAAAUUGCUGCUUGUUCCUUCCUCUGGAAGCUUUGUCCCAGAGGAGCACCCACCAGAUGUCAGCCAGAGCUCUCCUGUAUGAGGUGUCUGUCGGCCUCUACUGGGAGGUGUCUCCCAGUCAGGAUACACGGGGGUCAGUGACCCACUUGAGGAGGCAGGCUGUCCCUUAUCAGAGCUUGAACGCUGUGCUGGGAGAUCCACUGCUGUCUUCAGAGCUGCCAGUAACAGAAGACAGAAUAAUGAGUAGCAGUAGCAAGAUUACUGGAAUAAAGAGAGUGCUAACUGUCUGCUACAUGAGGACUUGAGGAAAACAUGGUAUUCUCCUGGAGGAGUACUGGGUGUUGAAUCAGAAUAAGGAGAAUUCUAAGUGCAGCCCUUUCAUUAACAGAUCAGCGACGGAAAAAUCAUUUAAACUCUGAGCUCAAUUUCCCCAUAUAUCAGUAAGGGGCGGGAUAACCAUUCCGUCUAAAGCACUUUGGGACCUAAAAUUAGAUCAUGAACGUGUAAACAGCAAAGCAUUUCACAAUAAAUGCCUUUUGUUUACAGAAAACAAGAACGCUCUGUUUCCUGAUGAUAUAGGAUCAGGAAGUGAUAAUAUUAUCAUGUUGGCCCCUGUCACACCAUCAUUAGAUCCUGGCUCUGGCUGGACACAAAAUAAAGA
RNAcentral lists this long non-coding RNA (2124 nucleotides) under Homo sapiens (human). Its description in RNAcentral is "HSALNT0073269". Lineage: Eukaryota; Metazoa; Chordata; Mammalia; Primates; Hominidae. The record is from RNAcentral.